RNAcentral lists this unclassified non-coding RNA (226 nucleotides) under Moritella viscosa. RNAcentral's name for it is "putative sRNA". The record is from RNAcentral. Lineage: Bacteria; Pseudomonadati; Pseudomonadota; Gammaproteobacteria; Alteromonadales; Moritellaceae.
CAACUAAAUUUAUAUUAAACUUGAUUUGGUUCUCAUUUUUUGAUAUUGCUAUAGGUAUUGAAAUUAUUAACAGAUUUAUUAAAUAUUAUUAUGACUUAUUGCUUAGCGUUCAUUACCACCACGAUUAUUAACACUGUUAUUACAACGGUGGGAUGAUACGUAGGGCUAAGACAGAAAUGAUAAAAAAGCCCGUUACCAUUUGGAACGGGCUUUUUUGUAUCUACAA